RNAcentral lists this ribosomal RNA (407 nucleotides) under uncultured eukaryote. RNAcentral's name for it is "bacterial SSU rRNA". It matches the Rfam family "Eukaryotic small subunit ribosomal RNA", at positions 139 to 543 of the family's 1831-position model. The record is from RNAcentral.
UUGGAUAACUCCGGUAAUUGGGGAGCUAAGACACGCACAAAGUCCCGAACUUACGUGAGGGGCGCUUAUGUUACAUCACAACCAAACGACCUCGGCUGCAUCCUUGGUGACUAAAAAUAACUUUGGGCUGAUCGCACGGCCUAGCGCCGGCGACGUAUCCCUUGAAGGGGUGCCUUAUCAGCGGUAGGCCGUGGCAUAGACGCCCACAGUGGUUGAGUCGGGUAACGGGGAAUCAGGGUUCGAUUCGGGAGAGGGAACAAAAAAAACGGCUACCACAUCUAAGGAAGGCAGCAGGCACGCAAAUUCCCCAAUGACCGGAGGUUGCAGUAGAGACAAAAAAUAACGAUACGGGACUCAUGAGAGGCCCCGCAAUCGGAAUGAGCACACUUUAAAACCGUCCCCGAGGA